GGAGUAUAGCUCAGAGGUUGAGGACAUGCUUAGCAUGCAUGAGGUCCUGGGUUCAAUCCCAGGUACCUUCA
This 71-nucleotide transfer RNA is filed under the name Camelus bactrianus (Bactrian camel). It matches the Rfam family "tRNA". From Rfam's summary of the family: Transfer RNA (tRNA) molecules are approximately 80 nucleotides in length. Their secondary structure includes four short double-helical elements and three loops (D, anti-codon, and T loops). Further hydrogen bonds mediate the characteristic L-shaped molecular structure. tRNAs have two regions of fundamental functional importance: the anti-codon, which is responsible for specific mRNA codon recognition, and the 3' end, to which the tRNAs corresponding amino acid is attached (by aminoacyl-tRNA synthetases). tRNAs cope with the degeneracy of the genetic code in two manners: having more than one tRNA (with a specific anti-codon) for a particular amino acid; and 'wobble' base-pairing, i.e. permitting non-standard base-pairing at the 3rd anti-codon position. RNAcentral also lists the same sequence under 2 other names. Lineage: Eukaryota; Metazoa; Chordata; Mammalia; Artiodactyla; Camelidae. The record is from Rfam by way of RNAcentral.